UGAUUUCUUUGAUGUGAAACCCGACGCGGGAUCCGAAUAAGUAAUUCGGGUCACUUAUUGUUCCUUCCAUCAUACGUCUCUUCUCGAUCUCUAAUCUUCAUUCACAUCCUAGGGUUUCUGCAACUUUAUUCGCACCUAUCCUUCUCAUCCAAUCGCAUCCAUUCGCACUUCAUUCUGCCGAUGUCUUCCAAAACCUAAUGGAUCCUUCAGUCGUUCAAUCUGUCGUUCCAUCCAAGCCUAUAAAAUCCAAUGUUCCAUCAGGUUAAUCUAUUCAGCACACAUCACUAGCAGGUACGAUUCCUUAUUUUCCUCACAAAACCUAAUCCAAAAAGUUAUCCUCUGUCUGAAAUGGCGCUGCCAAAAUCUUAUCAAGAUGGAUUGAGAUUGCUUAGCGAACAAAACCUAAUUCAGAGCUAUGGAAGGUUCAUAACCUACCAGAACCACUGUGGCAUAAAUUGAAUGCAUCACAUUUCUCUACUCCACACUAUCUCAAAACUUGAAUCGCGAUUACUUGGUUCAACACUACGGCUGGUUGGGAAGUUCAUUUUGUAGCAAUUUGUGUGAUCCGUGACCCAUGUCCUUCUCUGAAUGGGAGCACGUUUCUGAUUGCGAAAUUGUGCAAAAAAAGGAUUACUUUUGAUCAAUUUGAGAAUAUAACAGUUAAUUUGAAGCCUAAAUUGAGCAUUCAUGAAAAAGUAUGAGCAAGGCGCAACAAAUUGUAUAAGAGUUGAGGGACUACUUGAACAGCGAGAUGGAAUUGAAAUUGUUGGAUUGGAUAAAACAGCAACGCAAUUAGGUCACGUUACGCACACCAUUCAGUUUUGCUAUAGAGAUCCCUGUAUUCUAGCUAAUGGGAGCUUUUUACAUGGAUAAUAAACCUAUCCUUAAAGAGUUAAAGUUGAUAGAAAAGUUUGCAUUUUUAUGGAAAAUUGCUUUGGUUAACUUUCUUCAUAAAAUGAGCAAGGGGAAGAGUUGUUUUUUUGUCAAUAGCAAAGAGAUUGUUGAUUUAUGCUCUUGCAGGCCUUAUUGAAACACAUGGAUUUGUUAGAGACAGAGUAUAGACCAUAGAACCUGGCCCCUACAUUUCUACUUAAUGCCAAUGCCAAUUUUUAUUGAUUUGUUACUUAAACCCUCUGGAGAGGAUUUAAUGAAUUGGCCCCAUAGGUAUAUCUUAUCCAAGUAUGCUCAAAUUCUUUCUAGAAAUGAUCUCCAAGUUUUUGUUUUUAUUUUUUAUGUAAGCUUGGGAUUUAAGGGGAACUUGGCUAUUUACCAAAGUCUCUAUUGGAGCGAUCAAGAAUUGGAUGACUCAAAUCUAAGAACAAAGAAUCAAGAAGUUUUUUGUACUUAAAAGGACAAGAAUCUGAGUUUCAAUAAGCUAACGUCAUUUGGCAAUGAUCUAGAUGGCUUAAUUAGCCUUAAAAUUAUGUUAGGGGAUACGGAGUGGCAUGCGGCAAUCAACGGCAAACUAGUUUGCCGAGCGGCAAACACCGCCGCCGGCAAACUUGGGACGCGGCAAAGGAGCAAAAUCGGUGAUGGAUUACCGAUUCGAGAAGAGGGAGAAGGAGAGAGAGGGAGGGUAUUGUGGCCUGUGGGUGGGGUCCAUUCCUAUCUCAACCAAUCACACCUUUUUCCUUUUUUUUAAAAAAAAUAGUUUACCACUUCACCAAGUGUUUAAACCAUUGCCAACAUUUUUCACCAAAGUUUAAACACUUUUGCCUAAUUGACAUGGCGCGCUCUCAUUGGUCGGUUUUUUGGUUUGCCACUUUAAAGUGUUUAACCACUCCUUAUACCCUUAAAAAGGGUAAUUUUAAAUGUGGGUCAAAACUAUACUCUUUCAGCUUUUUUUAGGGGUGUGAAUUUCUUACACAACCUGAAAACACGACACGAACACGAAUUUUUUGGGUUUGGGUUUACCCUAAAUGGGUUCGGGUCAGUUUCAGGUCGAACCCGCGAACCCGUUUAGCUUAACAGGUCAGGUUCGGGUUCGCGGGUUGAUCCGUUUUGUUUAUAAAUGUAAAAAUAUGAUGGAUUAUGUGAAGGGUCACACGGGAUCCAUUUACAUCCAUCCGGGUCAAAUGGGUUUUCGUAUAUAAACAAACAACCCGGCCAUUUUCUUUCCUUAUUCUUCAUAUUCUCACAGACGCCAAGGGCGAUUAGGGUUUUAUCAUUCUUUUCCAAUCAAACAAUCCAAGAUCCAAGGUUUUUAAUAUGACACAAAAUCCAUCAAGGUCAGGAUCAUGACCGGAGAAACAAGAACCUACAAGUGGAUGUCAAAUAAGUAACAAUACAUAGGCCUAAUCCACCUAAAAAUCAACCUAAUUCAAUCAGUCUAGACGGAGAGAAACGCCAGGAUUUUCAAAAAGGUUAAGAGAUCGACCAAUGUUAUUGUGGAAGAGAUUGUCGCGAGAUCUUUUGGCUGGAUAAAGAACAGAUGCUAGCAGUCUAAUCUAAUAUCUGUUGGGAUAUUUGUGUCAAGCCGUCUUUUUCUGUAUAUCAGCUUGCUAGGCCUUGUGGUUUAAUAUAGUUAUUUUGUUUGCUGGAAAAAAACAAGACUAGAGAGGUAGAUGUUUUUUAUUACUUUUAUCUUUGACUUAAAAGGAGCAACACUAAAAGGUCUUUGAAUCUCAUGAAUGUUAGAAGGUUUUGACUAAUUAUAUGUCAAACCAGAAAAAAGUAUUUUUUUUCAUUUAUUUAUCUUUUCGAUUUUGUUA
Long non-coding RNA from Helianthus annuus (common sunflower), 2711 nucleotides. RefSeq lists it as uncharacterized. Lineage: Eukaryota; Viridiplantae; Streptophyta; Magnoliopsida; Asterales; Asteraceae. The transcript is spliced from 13 exons. The record is from RefSeq and is a predicted model, not a curated record.